AGUGAACGCUGGCGGUAGGCCUAACACAUGCAAGUCGAACGGCAGCACAGUAAGAGCUUGCUCUUACGGGUGGCGAGUGGCGGACGGGUGAGGAAUACAUCGGAAUCUACUUUUUCGUGGGGGAUAACGUAGGGAAACUUACGCUAAUACCGCAUACGACCUACGGGUGAAAGCAGGGGAUCUUCGGACCUUGCGCGAUUGAAUGAGCCGAUGUCGGAUUAGCUAGUUGGCGGGGUAAAGGCCCACCAAGGCGACGAUCCGUAGCUGGUCUGAGAGGAUGAUCCGCCACACUGGAACUGAGACACGGUCCAGACUCCUACGAGAGGCAGCAGUGGGGAAUAUUGGACAAUGGGCGCAAGCCUGAUCCAGCCAUACCGCGUGGGUGUAGAAGGCCUUCGGGUUGUAAAGCCCUUUUGUUGGGAAAGAAAAGCAGCAGGUUAAUCCCCCGCUGUUCUGACGGUACCCAAAGAAUAAGCACCGGCUAACUUCGUG
This 492-nucleotide ribosomal RNA is filed under the name uncultured bacterium. RNAcentral's name for it is "partial 16S ribosomal RNA". It matches the Rfam family "Bacterial small subunit ribosomal RNA", at positions 29 to 507 of the family's 1533-position model. The record is from RNAcentral.